CAGUCGUACCUUCGGGUAAUCAGCCUUUCGGGUGCGAUUCUGUGGAGCGUGAGGAGCUUAACACCUUCAUGCUUUGCAUAUUUGUGCUCUUGGGUGUACUUGCUCGUGUGGUUGGUUAACAUCAAUUUUGAUUAUCAUAAAAUGAUUGGAGGAAUGUAGCUUCGAUCUCGUAUUGAAGUGUUAUAGCCUUCGGUAGAUGUGAUGAUCGAGAUUGAGGAUUGCAACGGAUACCCUUCGGGGCUACCUGUCUGGUCUCUGAUCGUUGCUCUGGUGCCGAAAGCGUGCUUACGGUUAUCAAAGUCGAUGGUCAAUAGGUUAGAACGGGUUAAA
Molecule: ribosomal RNA, 330 nt
Filed under: uncultured Glomeromycotina
Lineage: Eukaryota; Fungi; Glomeromycota
Description: LSU rRNA
Source: RNAcentral